GCCAGGUGUGGUGGCACAUACCUGUAAUCCCAGCUACUUGGGAGGCUGAGGCAGGAGAAUCUCUUGAAUAUGGGAAGCGGAGGUUGCAGUGUGAGCCGAGAUCCGGCCACUGCACUCUGGCCUGUGUGACAGAGUGAGACUCUGUCUCAA
Molecule: non-coding RNA, 150 nt
Filed under: Pan troglodytes (chimpanzee)
Lineage: Eukaryota; Metazoa; Chordata; Mammalia; Primates; Hominidae
Source: Rfam by way of RNAcentral